Molecule: unclassified non-coding RNA, 491 nt
Filed under: Arabidopsis thaliana (thale cress)
Lineage: Eukaryota; Viridiplantae; Streptophyta; Magnoliopsida; Brassicales; Brassicaceae
Source: RNAcentral
GUGAAGGAGACAAGAAAUAGAUCGGGUAGGGUAUAUUUCAAUUGGGAAGAAGGAAAAUCGAAUCUCUUGUUUAUAACAAGAGAAUAAUUGAUAGAUGGUUUGAGAGAGGUAAGAAACCUCAUCAAAUAUUGAUAGAUGGUUUGAGAGAGGAAUUUUCCAACAAUGAGAUUUGGUGGUAGGAUUUUGUAUAGCAAGACUACUAUUGAGGUUGAUAAGCGAGGAUUGCAGCUUCUUAAGGUUCUUGAAACCAAGAGAGAUGAAUCUGGAAAAGCUUUUGUUGGCUUUGAUAUUGAGUGGAAACCAAGAAUUAGAAAAUGUGCUUUUGUUAACCUUCAGUUUUUCCUUUUUUGUGUCUGAUUGCAGGUUUUGUCUUUUUCGUUUGCAUUUCUUAAAGUAUGCAAUGUGAUAUGCAUCUAGAACUGUAUUUUAUCUCUAUGGAUGCAUAUGUUGUCUUUUCUACUUUCUCUUUAUAUAUCUUGAUGAUUAAUGAU